GUAUGCAACUUGCCCUUAUCAGGAGGAUAGCCCGGGGAAACUCGGAUUAAUACUCCAUAAGAUUUUGAUUGGCAUCGAUUAAAAUGAAAGAUUUAUUGGAUAAGGAUAGGCAUGCGUCAGAUUAGUUAGUUGGUAGUGUAACGGACUACCAAGGCGAUGAUCUGUAGGGGGCCUGAGAGGGUGAACCCCCACACUGGUACUGAGACACGGACCAGACUCCUACGGGAGGCAGCAGUGAGGAAUAUUGGACAAUGGAGGGAACUCUGAUCCAGCCAUCCCGCGUGCAGGAAGACGGCCCUAUGGGUUGUAAACUGCUUUUGUAUGGGGAUAAAUCUACUUACGUGUAGGUAGUUGAAGGUACCAUACGAAUAAGCAUCGGCUAACUCCGUGCCAGCAGCCGCGGUAAUACGGAGGAUGCAAGCGUUAUCCGGAUUCAUUGGGUUUAAAGGGUCCGUAGGCGGGCUGAUAAGUCAGUGGUGAAAUUUUGUCGCUCAACGAUAAAACUGCCAUUGAUACUGUUAGUCUUGAGUGAUAUUGAAGUAGCUGGAAUGUGUAGUGUAGCGGUGAAAUGCAUAGAUAUUACACAGAACACCGAUUGCGAAGGCAGGUUACUAA
This 615-nucleotide ribosomal RNA is filed under the name Ornithobacterium rhinotracheale. RNAcentral describes it as "bacterial SSU rRNA". It matches the Rfam family "Bacterial small subunit ribosomal RNA", at positions 117 to 732 of the family's 1533-position model. Lineage: Bacteria; Pseudomonadati; Bacteroidota; Flavobacteriia; Flavobacteriales; Weeksellaceae. The record is from RNAcentral.